AGGGUUUGAUUCUGGCUCAGGAUGAACGCUAGCGGCAGGCCUAAUACAUGCAAGUCGGACGGGAUUGCGGAGCUUGCUUCACAUGAGAGUGGCGCACGGGUGCGUAACACGUAUGUAACCUACCCAUAUCAGGGGGAUAGCCUCUCGAAAGAGAGAUUAAGCCCGCAUAAAAUCACAUUGCAGCAUUGCAAAAUGAUCAAAUAUUUAUAGGAUAUGGAUGGGCAUGCGGAACAUUAGCUAGUUGGUAAGGUAAUGGCUUACCAAGGCAACGAUGUUUAGGGGAUCUGAGAGGAUGACCCCCCACACUGGUACUGAGACACGGACCAGACUCCUACGGGAGGCAGCAGUAAGGAAUAUUGGUCAAUGGGCGGAAGCCUGAACCAGCCAUGCCGCGUGCAGGAAGACGGCCCUACGGGUUGUAAACUGCUUUUAUACGGGAAUAAACCCCACUACGUGUAGUGGGCUGAAUGUACUGUAAGAAUAAGGAUCGGCUAACUCCGUGCCAGCAGCCGCGGUAAUACGGAGGAUCCAAGCGUUAUCCGGAUUUAUUGGGUUUAAAGGGUGCGUAGGCGGCUUUUUAAGUCAGGGGUGAAAGACGGUACUUAACUAUCGCAGUGCCCUUGAUACUGAAGAGCUUGAAUAUACUUGAGGUAGGCGGAAUGUGACAAGUAGCGGUGAAAUGCAUAGAUAUGUCACAGAACACCAAUUGCGAAGGCAGCUUACUAAGGUAUGAUUGACGCUGAGGCACGAAAGCGUGGGGAUCAAACAGGAUUAGAUACCCUGGUAGUCCACGCCCUAAACGAUGAACACUCGAUGUUGGCGAUAUACGGUCAGCGUCAAAGCGAAAGCGUUAAGUGUUCCACCUGGGGAGUACGCCCGCAAGGGUGAAACUCAAAGGAAUUGACGGGGGCCCGCACAAGCGGAGGAGCAUGUGGUUUAAUUCGAUGAUACGCGAGGAACCUUACCCGGGCUUGAAAGUUAGUGAAUGGAGCAGAGACGCUCCAGUCCUUCGGACACGAAACUAGGUGCUGCAUGGCUGUCGUCAGCUCGUGCCGUGAGGUGUUGGGUUAAGUCCCGCAACGAGCGCAACCCCUAUGUUUAGUUGCCAGCACGUAAAGGUGGGGACUCUAAACAGACUGCCUACGCAAGUAGAGAGGAAGGAGGGGACGACGUCAAGUCAUCAUGGCCCUUACGUCCGGGGCUACACACGUGCUACAAUGGGCAGUACAGAGGGCAGCGACCUGGUAACAGGAAGCCAAUCUCAAAAAGCUGUUCACAGUUCGGAUCGGGGUCUGCAACUCGACCCCGUGAAGUUGGAUUCGCUAGUAAUCGCAGAUCAGCAAUGCCGCGGUGAAUACGUUCCCGGGCCUUGUACACACCGCCCGUCAAGCCAUGGAAGCUGGGGGUGCCUGAAGCCGGUAACCGCAAGGAGCCGUCUAGGGUAAAACCGGUAACUGGGGCUAAGUCGUAACAAGGUAG
Molecule: ribosomal RNA, 1479 nt
Filed under: uncultured bacterium
Lineage: Bacteria
Description: bacterial SSU rRNA
Rfam family: Bacterial small subunit ribosomal RNA
Source: RNAcentral